RNAcentral lists this ribosomal RNA (251 nucleotides) under uncultured bacterium. RNAcentral describes it as "partial 16S ribosomal RNA". It matches the Rfam family "Bacterial small subunit ribosomal RNA", at positions 335 to 578 of the family's 1533-position model. The record is from RNAcentral.
GUCCCUACGGGGGGCAGCAGUAGGGAAUCUUCCACAAUGGACGAAAGCCUGAUGGAGCAACGCCGCGUGAGUGAAGAAGGGUUUCGGCUCGUAAAGCUCUGUUGGUAGUGAAGAAAGAUAGAGGCAGUAACUGGCCUUUAUUUGACGGUAAUUACUUAGAAAGUCACGGCUAACUACGUGCCAGCAGCCGCGGUAAUACGUAGGUGGCAAGCGGUGGCCGGAUUUCUUGGGCGUAAAGCGGGGGCAGGCGG